Molecule: unclassified non-coding RNA, 2056 nt
Filed under: Pectinophora gossypiella (pink bollworm)
Lineage: Eukaryota; Metazoa; Arthropoda; Insecta; Lepidoptera; Gelechiidae
Description: serologically defined colon cancer antigen 8 homolog
Source: RNAcentral
UUUUCUACAUUAUUAACAUUCAAACUUUUUGAAAAAGAUAAAAUUUGAGACAUUUGACGUUUUUAAAUAUUUGGCGCCAUUUUAAGUUGUAAAGUUUUGUACAUACGUUAAUAAAUAGAUGGUGGGUGUUGAAAUGGGCUCGACUAGUUACUUGAAGCCUAAAUCUGGUGGGUACAGAGCUAAAAGUGGGUCUAGUGGUGGAUCAGACAAGGAGAUGAACGGGAAAUUGCGGCGCCCGAAAAUUAGGCGGCCGACGAAGUUGAACGACUAUGGGUUGAAGAGGAUUCCAGAUUAUACGGAGUUGGCUUAUAAAGAGGCUGUGUCCAAAUUGAGAUACUUUCUGUCCGGGAACUAUGUACCGAGUGUCCGCAGUUACGGAGGCUCCGCGUCAAUCAAGAACUUAGACGAGUCAGACGGCGAGUUAGAGAAGAAGUACAACCUCGCCACAUCGGCUCCGUACAACGCGUUGUUGGAGUACAAGCCACGCCCGCGGCUGACGGCCAAAUACGCCACAUUGUAUGCCGAUAGCCUCAACAAUACGCAUACGAAACAACAUGUCAGUGCGCCUGCGCCAGCGGCGGCGAAUGCUGACGUCACGGGCGGCACCAACCCUGACGUCAUCAAUUUCAUCCAGAAACAGGAGGAAUACAUCGAACAGCUGGAGCGAGAGAGCCAGUACUGCAGGGAUGAACUCAACAACCUGCUAGGCAAGGUGAAGGAAGUGAUAUCAGAGAACGAACAUUUACACGAGGCUCAGAAGAACAAGCUGAUUAAUCGAAUGUUCCACUCGUACGCCGGAUCUGAGACCGACGAGCUGGACGACCUGGGCGAUAGCACUGGAUUGGAUAGCGAUAAUAAGGUUACUCCAUCAAAGGCCCGUAAGAGCAAGCCUCGUUCGACCCGGCUGGAGGGUCCAAACAUAGUGUUUGAGUCCCGCAUCGCCGAGCUGGAAGCACAGUUGACACAGGCCAAGAUCGAUCUGAAGAAGGUUCAGGAGGAAAAUAAUGAGAACAAACGCAAGCUGGCCUCUGGGCUGGUUGACUCAACCUGCCUUGACGGCUUCAAGCGGCAGAUCGACAACUUGCAAAGAGACAAGUCAUCCCUGGAGGCGCAGAUCUCCAAGCUGAAGUUGAGCUUGGAGUCCCGGGACGGCGAGUACCGCCGAGGGUCUGACGCUGUAGAGCAGCAGCUUAGAGACGAGCGCAACAACUUGGAAGCGGAGUUGCGCAGACUUAAGGACGACCUCACCAAAGAGCGGUCGAAGGUGCGCGAGCUGGCGGGCGAGGGCGCUCGGCGCGCUAUACAGGAGCGCAGCGCGGCCGAGCAGCGAUACAACGCGCACUUCGACGAGCUACAACACGAUCUCGCGGCGCAGUACGACAACGUCGCUAAACUACAGUUGGAUCUAGAGCGCCAACGUCGAGAGGAGAACGACCUCAAACGCGAGCUGUCCAUGAAGACUGCUGCCAUCGAAGAACUCAAGAUGGAGUUGAAGAACAAGACAGCAUCUUUGCAAGCAGACCUUGCUCAGGCUCACGCUGAAAAGGCAUCUCUGGAAGAGGAGUUAGCUAGCGCUCGCCUGGCCAUCGAGCGUCAUCAGAGACAAGCCAAGCAUGAGACCAACCGUCUCAAUUCUGAGAUCCAGUCUCUCCGCCAACGUCUGGAUCGAGCUGAUGCAGACCUGGUACAUUCACGUCGCGAGAAUUUGCGUCUUACUGAGCAGAUUUCUACUUUGGAGAAAGAGCUUAACAUGAAGAACCUAACACCAAAUUCUCCAGAGAAGAAGAAAGACAAAGAGUUGUCAACUAUGUUUGAGUCGAUGGAGAAUAAACAUGGGAAGAAUUGGGCACUCUGCAGCGUCAAGUAGAGACUCUCAGUCGGACCCUGCAGACACCAGAGAAGGCACCUAGCACUUAUCAAGCACAACCCACGCACGCGCCCGCAACCAGUCGAAAUAUCCCACAAUCUCCCGGACCCAGACAAAACCAUCCCCGAGUUGAGUCCGCCAGAGACGCCCACGCUGACCGCGCGCUCCCUGACUUCCGACAAGACCGAG